UUCAUGACGGAAGAAGGGCUUGUUGAGGGCAAGUCACAGAGCUGGCAGCUGUGCUGAGGUCUGGACACGGGAUGCUCUGCGGGUCCUUCUCUCUGGCGGCAGCUGGGAAAUGCUGCUGGAGGAGAGGCUAGAGUAUGCUUGAACCAUAGAGGAGCAUUGCAAAGGGCUAGGAUGCCGACCACAUGAAUAAGCCCCAGAGAGGGCUGCAGUAUGGACCACAAACCAUGAGAGAGGCCAGAGCACUGACCCUUUAGCUAGGGCAGUUACAGUGGAAAGCCAAAAAUGGAAACAAGCAAAAAGCAGCGCUGACAUCUGGCCAUUUAAAUCAUACCUGCUUGAAAUGUU
Molecule: long non-coding RNA, 345 nt
Organism: Gavialis gangeticus (Gharial)
Lineage: Eukaryota; Metazoa; Chordata; Crocodylia; Gavialidae
Exons: 2
Source: RefSeq, a predicted model, not a curated record